Molecule: ribosomal RNA, 1482 nt
Filed under: metagenome
Description: bacterial SSU rRNA
Rfam family: Bacterial small subunit ribosomal RNA
Source: RNAcentral
GAGUUUGAUCCUGGCUCAGGAUGAACGCUAGCGGCAGGCCUAAUACAUGCAAGUCGAACGGUAAUUCUGGUAGCAAUACUGGAAACGAGUGGCGUACGGGUGAGUAACACGUAUAUAACCUACCCUUAACCGGGGAAUAGCUCCGGGAAACCGGAAUUAAUACCCCAUAACAUCAUAGUAUGGCAUCAUACAGUGAUUAAAGCUUCGGCGGUUAUGGAUGGAUAUGCGGCCCAUUAGCUAGUUGGUGACGGUAACGGCUCACCAAGGCAUCGAUGGGUAGCUGGUCUGAGAGGAUGAUCAGCCACACUGGCACUGAGAUACGGGCCAGACUCCUACGGGAGGCAGCAGUAGGGAAUAUUGGGCAAUGGGCGAAAGCCUGACCCAGCCAUGCCGCGUGCAGGAUUGAAUGUUCUAUGAAUUGUAAACUGCCUUUGUCCGGGACGAAAAAGCCUCAUUCUUGGGGAACUGACGGUACCGGACGAAUAAGGACCGGCUAACUCCGUGCCAGCAGCCGCGGUAAUACGGAGGGUCCAAGCGUUAUCCGGAUUCACUGGGUUUAAAGGGUGCGUAGGUGGUCAGAUAAGUCAGUGGUGAAAUCCUACAGCUUAACUGUAGAACUGCCAUUGAAACUGCCUGGCUUGAGUAUCGUUGAGGCGAGUGGAAUGUAACAUGUAGCGGUGAAAUGCAUAGAUAUGUUACAGAACACCAAUUGUGAAGACAGCUCGCUGGACGAUCACUGACACUGAGGCACGAAAGCGUGGGUAGCGAACAGGAUUAGAUACCCUGGUAGUCCACGCCCUAAACGAUGAACACUAGACGUGUGCGACCUAGUCGUACGUGUCCAAGCAAAAGCGUUAAGUGUUCCACCUGGGGAGUACGGUCGCAAGAUUAAAACUCAAAGGAAUUGACGGGGGCCCGCACAAGCGGAGGAGUAUGUGGUUUAAUUCGAUGGUACGCGAGGAACCUUACCUGGGCUAGAAUGCGCGUGACGUCCGCCGAAAGGUGGAUUCCCUUCGGGGCACAAAGCAAGGUGCUGCAUGGCUGUCGUCAGCUCGUGCCGUGAGGUGUUGGGUUAAGUCCCUCAACGAGCGCAACCCCUAUUCUUAGUUGCUAACAGGUUAAGCUGAGCACUCUAAGAAAACUGCCUGCGUAAGCAGUGAGGAAGGAGGGGAUGACGUCAAGUCAGCAUGGCCCUUACGUCCAGGGCUACACACAUACUACAAUGGUUGACACAAUGGGCAGCCACAUGGCGACAUGGAGCUAAUCCCUAAAUUUAACCUCAGUUCGGAUCGGAGUCUGCAACUCGACUCCGUGAAGUUGGAUUCGCUAGUAAUCGCUCAUCAGCCACGGAGCGGUGAAUACGUUCCCGGUCCUUGUACACACCGCCCGUCAAGCCAUGGGAGUCGAAAGUACCUGAAGUCGAUAACCGAAAGGAGUCGCCCAAGGUAAGUUCGAUGUCUGGGGCUAAGUCGAAACAAGGUA